CCCGCUGAACUUAAGCAUAUUAUUAAGCGGAGGAAAAGAAACUAACAAGGAUGCCCUCAGUAACGGCGAGUGAAGCGGGCAAAGCUCAACCUGAAAAUCGGGUAUCCAAGCGGGUGCUCGAAUUGUGGGCUAGAGACGCGCGAUCAGUGUGUGACCCAGAUAGAAAUCUUUUGAAACAAGGUAUCAUAGAGGGUGAGAAUCCCGUCUGUGAUCUGGAGCUUCGCCGCGUACGAUCCGCGUUCGCAGAGUCGAGUUGUUUGGGAUUGCAGCUCUAAAUGGGUGGUAAAUUUCAUCUAAAGCUAAAUAUCGACGAGAGACCGAUAGCGAACAAGUACCGUGAGGGAAAGAUGAAAAGAACUUUGAAAAGAGAGUCAAACAGUACGUGAAAUUGCUGAAAGGGAAACGCUUGAAGUCAGUCGCGCCCCCUGGAAUUCAGCCCUGCUUUUGUAGGGUGUACUUUCCAGGGGGCGGGCCAACAUCAGUUUUGACCGGCAGAUAAAGGCUGGGGGAAUGUGGCUCCUUCGGGAGUGUUAUAGCCCCUGGUCACAUAUGCCGGUUGGGACUGAGGAACGCAGCGCGCCCUUGUGGCAGGCCUUCGGGCACUUUCGCGCUUAGGAUGUUGGCAUAAUGGCUUUAAGCGACCCGUCUUGAAACACGG
This 658-nucleotide ribosomal RNA is filed under the name uncultured fungus. RNAcentral's name for it is "eukaryotic LSU rRNA". It matches the Rfam family "Eukaryotic large subunit ribosomal RNA", at positions 24 to 664 of the family's 3401-position model. The record is from RNAcentral. Lineage: Eukaryota; Fungi.